Molecule: small RNA, 29 nt
Filed under: Bombyx mori (domestic silkworm)
Lineage: Eukaryota; Metazoa; Arthropoda; Insecta; Lepidoptera; Bombycidae
Description: piRNA piR-bmo-2246609
Source: RNAcentral
UGGUUUUGGUCCGCGUCAUCCGAUCUCUU